Molecule: non-coding RNA, 547 nt
Organism: Cucurbita pepo subsp. pepo (vegetable marrow)
Lineage: Eukaryota; Viridiplantae; Streptophyta; Magnoliopsida; Cucurbitales; Cucurbitaceae
Source: RefSeq, a predicted model, not a curated record
UCUCGUCUACGUGCUUCAUCGUUCUCGUUGGUAAUGGCUUCUUGGAAGAAAACCAUAAUUUCUCCUAUUAGAAAGGCUUGCACCAUCUUCAACCAACACCCGAGAGACUCGAAGAAGUCCCACUCCGACUCCGACUCAGAGCAAGAGAAGCGAGUAGACGUGAGAGACCUACAAGGAGAGGUGAUGGCAUGUGGGUAUGAAGACGUGCAAGUUAUGUGGUCUAUUUUAGACAAGACUAACUCUACUACAGCCGCCGCCACCACCAACUCCACCGUCUAUAAUAUGUCUUCUUAAUCAUCGUCGUGGUGGUCGCCGUUGUCACGGCCGUGGCCAAAAGAUUGUAGAUAACUCUUUUUCUCUAUUUCUCGGUGAGUUAUGAUUUCGUUAUGUUUAUAGGGAAGGAAUGAAUCCCCAUGAUUUGAAGAAGCUCUUAAUCAUGGUGAGACUUAUUACUCUUAGUUAAUGUAAAAAUUAAAUCUCUUUCCUAGUGGGAAAUGGAACCUCAUCUUUCUCACCCGUAUUUUGAUUUAGAGAGAGAUUUUUUAAA